GAGUGGGUGUCCAUUAGCUCAAGUGAUGGUGGUAGCACAAACUAUGCAGACUCCGUGAAGGGCCGAUUCACCAUCUCCAGAGACAACGCCAAGAACACGGUGUAUCUGCAAAUGAACAGCCUGAAACCUGAGGACACGGCCGUCUAUUACUGUGUGGGAGGAGAUUACAGUUAUAAUCCUUGGUUUC
This is a non-coding RNA of Vicugna pacos (alpaca), 187 nucleotides long. The record is from RefSeq and is a predicted model, not a curated record. Lineage: Eukaryota; Metazoa; Chordata; Mammalia; Artiodactyla; Camelidae.